UGGAAAGGAAGUCCCAAAGAGUGAAAAUUCAGUAACAGUUACAACCUGAUGGGCCAGCUGGCAUCACUUCCCUCUGAAUCUAUUUCCUUUUUUCUUUCCACCACUGGCAGGGCACUUGCCUGGCCACCAAAGAGGGAUAAAUCCAGAGAAUUCAUCCAUAAACCAGGCUCUACUUCAGAGAACUAACAGGAAAGACUGGGAAAAUGAGGAAGAUGUGUAAUCUCUGAGAGGGGGAGACAGACUUAGACUGAGGAAGGGCAAAACACAGAUUGAGAGUCGAAGGGUCACCAGAAGAAGGGAGAAAGGUGGAGAGGACUACUCAGAGACCUAAUAACAGUAUUUCCGGGGCAAAAGGCAGGACUACCCACACGGGGGAGGGCCGCAGCACACAACACGUCGUCACACAGACAAGAGACGCAGCCACACUCAGACACAGACUCGAAGGUUACGCUGGGAGGACCGCCGGUCCCACUAUCCCAUCAGCACCAGUGGGGUCUCAUCUCUCGUCUCUGCAGUCCUGUCUACCCUCAAUCCUUCACGCUGCAACUUACACCUCGGCAGAAGGACGCUAAGUUUUGUGAGGGAAGAGGGUGUGGAACAAUGCUGAUGGGGCGUGUGUGCAGUUAUGUGUGCAUGCGCGCGUCUGGGGCUGUGUGUGUGUCUGUGUGUGUCCCGAGGAUGGGGCUGUCAACUCCAUCUGCCGCUGAGUCACUUGUUUAUUCCAACUCCACGCUGAGGCCGAAACUGCCGCCGUGUCGCCGCCAAAGCCUGCCUGCCUUUUCCAGCCUCCUCUGGCCCCGAGUCAGGAGCUGGGGAGGGAGGGAGGAGGGAGGGAAGGAGGAAGGAAGGAGGAAGGAAAGGAAGGAGGAGUCAGCAGCCCCUGUCCUACUCCUGGCUGUGACAGACUGUGAGUGUGUGUGUCUGCAGACAUGUAUGUAACUGCGUGUGUGUGUGUGUGUGUGUGUGUGUGUGUGUGUGUGUGUGUGUGUGUGCAUGCCCCCAAAGCUAGGGAUGAGGGAGGGUUAGGCGGCUGCACUCCCCUAGAAAGGGAAGAACCUGCCUCUGGCUUUGUUCCCCAUUUCCCCUGGCUCCCUCCCACUGCUGUGCCCAUGAGGACAUGCUUUUUGCUGGAGACGGGUGGAAGGUGACUGGGGCAGAGUCGAUGAUCCACUUUAAUCAUCUACUCUGGGUGCCCCAGGACACAACCUCAAGGAUGCCUGAGGUUGCUUGGUAACAGGGUUUCCACAGAUGCCCCACAGGGAAAUACAUAGAGACAGACACAUUUCCUAAUGGCAAAGAACCAUUUGCACAAAGGCAAACAUAUAGAGACAAACAUAGCCCACCUUCCCACAUAAACACACGUGCACACAACCAUGCACACAGAUGCACACGUGGCUGAGCCUCACCAAAGAGCAUGGGCUAUGUCUUGGGUAGCUCUGUUUUGCUCACAUUAUGCAUAUGGUAGGCACUCAUUUUAUUCAAUGUUUGCUGAAUGGAGAAAGGUCCAUAUACAUGCAUAGCACACGUACACACACACACACACACACACAAGCCCCAGGUGCACAUGCAGAAACACACACCAUGCUUGAGAUUCAGGUGUCCGUAUACACUAAGUCAGAAUGGCAGUCUGAAGUCACAGCCCCGUCAGGGCUCACACAGACACACAGAGCCAGUACUUACCAGAUCUAAAUGGUCCUCAGUCUGGGAGUAGAAAUAAAACCAACAGGGGGAAUUCAGUCUCCACUCACUGCCCCUUUCCUACCCCUCCUCCUCAGGUCACAUUUCUCCUCCCACCACAGGGCAGGUUCUUCUUCUCCCUCCCCAACCCUUCCUGGAGAGAGAUCUCUGAUUUUUGUGACUAACUUCAGACGAUGCAUCCCCUCCGUCCUUCCUUAUUUUAUCCCUGUCUGUCUGUCUGUCUGUCUGUCAGGGAGGCCAAUCAGAGGCUAGGCUCUGCCCCUCCAAGAACACUGAUUUCUGACAUUCUGGCCUUUGGCAGCCUCCAGCUCAUCUCUCUGUCGACAUCAUCCCUACCUGCUCUAUUAGUUCCUGAGGCAGGUCCUCUUUGGUGGGGAGAAAGAACCCCUACUUCCACCUCUCCCUGGCUGGGAGGGAACCAGAGGAAGUCCUCACUUUUCUAACUUCUCCCUCAGAAAACAUUGUUACGGUCUGCCCUUCAUCCCCCUGCCAAAGGGUCUGCACCAUCCCUCUUGUCCCUUUGCCAUCCCCAACUAAGCUCCCAAGGCCAACUCACCAAGUGAUGCAUUAACCCUUUCCCACCCUGGGAGGUGAUGACUCGAAGGUCUGGCUUUCUGCUGGGGGCCCCAAGCUGGGCACUGUGGGUGGGUGGGGGCGGAGACUUGGCUGGGAUGACUUUGCUCAGGCUGUUGCCAUUAGCGACGGGGAGGAGGCCAGGGGAGGCCCGGGCACUGACAUAGCCAUUCCCUGGAAAAACGGAAGGUUCAAAGGUAGGUGGAUACUUCCCUCUGCCACUGGCCCUAUGUCACACAUUGGCCAACUUGCUCCAUGCCCCCCAUACUCCCACAAAAAUCUGGAUCCAUUCUUAAAGUUCUGAUCCCUUUCCUGGAACUUUCUUAACCUGAGGAAGAAAGGCAGAGGGAAGAGAGGAAGGGCAAUUGCAUAUCCAUUUCUGUAACACUGUGCUUCCCAUGAGACAACUCUGUGAGCUGGCACAAAGAAUCUUGGGCUUGGAAUAAGACCUGGGUUCUGAUUUCCUGGUUCUGCUAUUUAGUGACCUUGAGCAAGUAACCUAACCUCCCUGGAACUCGGUUUCUUCAUCUACAGAAUGGGGAUAAUAAUAUAUAUACCAGAUAUGUUUUGAGGAUUAAAAGAGAAAAUGUAUGUAAAAGGUUUUGUAAAUUUUUUAAAGCUAUAUAAACAUUAGCUCUUGUUAAAGUAUUCAGGCCUCUGCUACAAGGGGUAGGGAGGAAUGACAUUUCCUGGGGCAAGGCAGAGGGAAGGGGAAGAGGACAUUGCUUCUCUCCUGCUACUGUUCUCACCCCUCGGUCUACCCCUGGCACCCAUAUAUAACAAGACUAGUCAAGGAGGUCUUCCUGGGUUCUAACCUCCUUCCCUUUUCUCCUGCAGAAGUGUAAGAAUAGAUCCUGGGGAAUUGGGGGGGGGGGCACUAGCAGGGAAGAGAGUGGGUACUUGUAGGCCAGGAGAGUACAGGGCCAGGGCUGAGGCUGUUCCCUGGCAUCACUAAGGCCACAGAACAGCAUUACUUGAAGGGACCUUGGCAUCCCAUGCUCUCAUUUCCCAGAGGAGGAAACUAAGGCACAGAGCCAGGAAAUUCCUUGGUCAGGGGUUGCAUAAUUAAUCAAUGAUGAUGCUCUGUCUGCUGAUAAUCACCAACCAUCACUGACUCUUCCCUUCCCUUCCCUACAAGCAGGGGAAACCAGUCAUCGGUGUCCUCAGGGAGAAGAGGACAGAAGCACCACCAGCAUAUGGGUAAGACACUGCUGAGGCCUCCCUUAGGCUGGCAACCCUGUGCUCAGGCUGGAAGCCAAAUGGUCCCCAGGGAUUUUUUCUGCUCAUUCCUCAACCCCCAGGUGCUGUAAGGUGUCCCAGGCUAAACCUCGGGUGGGGGGGGGGUCUCAGGGCUAAGGGAUCAGGCCCGCCCUGGGGAACACUAUCUCCCUGCUGAGCCCCAGAUCUCUCCAGCUGCCUCUAUCCCAAUUCUCGGAGAGGCUCUGGGAAUGACAAGAAUGUGGAGGUGACGUCAAUCGUGACAUUCGUGGCCACAGUCACAGAGCCAGACGAGGGGAUGGCCACAGCCAGGACUGACAGCUGAUGAAGAUGGGGUGGGGGAGGGUAAGACCUCCCUCUCUGUCUUCCAAACAUGUAACCCUGUAUUCAAUCGAGCUUGUCCCUGGGCCACACCUGUGAGUGUGCGGCCUUCCCUUUCUGGGUCUGAGAGAGAAUUCCUGAUUCUUUCUGUUUCUGUGUCAAGAAGCACCUGCUUGCUUGUGUCUGUCAGCGCAACUUGUCUGUGUGAGAGAAUGUUCCAUUCCCCUCCAAAAUGGAGCUUCAGAGUACAGGGGGAAAGUAGGAAAGGAGAGAGGGAGAGAAAGAGAUAGUGUGUGUAUGUGAUACAAUCUUCUUUCUUACCACUUUUCCCACCUGUUUCCUCCAAAUUCCCUGAGUACAGACACGGGUCAUAAUAACUUUAUUUUUAUGAUAGCUGACAUUUAAUGUGGUCCUUUAGAGCUACAAAGCCCUUUUAAUAACACGAGCUCCUUUGUCUUCUAGAACUCCACGAGGCAGGUACCAUUGGUAUGAUCAUCAUCUCCAUUUUAUAGAAAUGGAAAUGGAGGUUAGGAAAAGUUAAGUGAAUUGCCCAGGUCACAAAGAAUAAAGUAUCAGAGGUAGGAUCUGACUCCAAGUCUCUCCUGACCCCAGGAAAUGAAGGGGCUAGAUCAGAACCAGAAGAUGCCAAGAGACCACACCAGACAGAGGCUAUAAGGAUGUUCUUAGACUUCCAGUGGCCCCACAGGCCCCUCCCCUCAUGAAGUUCCUCAGACCCGCCACGAUCCCAGACACCCAAGCUCUGCCCUCAGCUUCCUCUCCUCUUCUUGCUAUAGGCACUUGUCUCUUCUCUUCUAAAAGAAAACCUUCCUGAACCCCACAGACCUAAUUCUGAACAGAAAGACUCACCAACAGGGCUAGGACAGGCUCCAUUUGCACUAUUAAGGUCUCCUCCCAGCAUGGCCCCUAGGGAAGGAACAGAAAUAUAAGGGCACUGGAGAGCGCUGAGCCUUGGGGGUAGAGAGUGCUGGCACAGUUUCCUGUGAGGAGGAACCCAGAGGCGGCAGGAGGAGACAGGACAGACUCAGAAAGCUUCAACCCCUCCCCAACUAAAGGAACUUCUCCAUCUUCCCAACCCCAUCCAGGGGGUGAACAGCAACAGGGGAGUGAAGGCAGUUGAUUCUGUUGGACAGAACUCUGAACUGCAAUGCUGGGAGGAUGAGGGGGCCUAGGAAGGGGAGGUGGGCCAGAACUAGAGAGGGGGAGAAGGAAGGAAUGACAAGAGCAGAUGGGCCUUGGAAGAUCCUUAAAGGCACAGGUGGGGUGAUGAAACCAGGCUUGUCUAGCUACAACAAUGAGUCCCAAGUUGGGAAGGAGUCACAGGAGACAUUGAAAGGGCAAAAAGAAGAGGCUCUUCAGCUGAGGGGCAAUCUAGGAAGCUAAAAAUAAAUCUCAAAGCACCUGAACUAUCCCCUCUUCCUAUACUCACCAGCACUGGCUGGUCGCUGGGGCAGCCCUGGUGAUACACUGUUCCUCUGCAGGGCCGGCUGCUGGGGGGACAGGAGUCUCGGGUCUGUGAGGGAUGACGUAACCAGUGAUGGGGUCACCAGAGAACCUCCAGGGUUGCUGAACUGAAGUGAGUUCUGAUUGGACACAGGCACCGUGACCGGCAUGGCAAAAUUUGGAGCUGGAACCGCAGACUGGACAGAAAGAGGUGUCAGCUCUUCUAGAUCCUCAUACACACUCCAAAGAAUUUCUGCUCAAGACAAACCUACAAAUAUUAAGCACCUACUGUUUUUCCAGCACACUUGCUAAGGACAAAGGAAUACAAAGGAAGGCAGAAGAUAGUUUUUGAUGUCAAGAAACAUUCUAACAGGAAAGUGUCUCAAGACUGAGGGAGUCAGGAGAUGAUGGGGUGGCAGCUGAGCUGUGAUUAGGGCCAGUGUCUUGGCUUUCAGCCCCAUCUGCCUCUCAGCAGCUGAUACCAUCUCCUCCACAAGCUCCAGCUGAAAUCUGCCAGGGCCCCUCCUUCCUCAUACCAGUGUCCCAGCUCCCAUAUUGGGGAUCCUUCCACUACUGCCCAGAGAACUCUUGUCCUUCUGAAGUAGCACAUCCCUAAUUAGUCUAUUUUUCUUUAGUCUCUUUAAGCUUCCAGCUCUUCUCCCUUCACUCUGCUAUAAUCAACAACUAGAACAAUCAGAAAGAGUUUCCCAAACAUACCCCAGCCAGCACAACUGUUUUCUCUUCUCCCAACCCUCCCCUCCAUUAUGAUGGUGGAAAAGUGGAAAAAAGGAAAAGAGUGCUAGAAUUGGAGUCACACGGCCUGUGCUAGAAUCUUACAGCUGUAACUUACUAUCUGACUGACCUUGAGCAAGUCACUUCCUCUUUAGGGACCCAAGUUUUCUCAUCUAUAAAGUAAAGUGGUUCCUUUAGAUGAUCUCUAAAGGUGCUCUUGACUCUAAACUUUAUGACCCCCUUAUAGUAUUCCUGUCAACACUGCCUGAAUCAAAGUCCCCCAGAUCUUUUGGAAGGAUAGAGAAGGAUCCAUGCUGAAAAUCUAACCAUUUAACCCCAAUCCAAGCUGACAGUGAUCAUCUCUCCAACAAGAAUAGCCACCAUGCCACAUGAGGAUCUGUUGAAGAGGGUAUUUAGUCUAGAGAAGAAAAGACAGCUGUCAUCAUGUAGUAUAAGGGCUGCCUUUUAAAAGAAGGACUGAAUGGAUUCUACUUGGCUCCAGCAGGGCAGAACUAAAAUAAAUGGGCAAAAAUUCCCAAGAGGUAGAUUUCAGUUCACUAUAAGAAAAAAUCUAACAAUUAAAGCUAUUCAAAAGUGGGAUGAACUGACUCCCUUCAAAAGUUGUGAGUUCCCCAUCACUGGAGGUAUUCAAGCAAAGACCUAAUGAAUGCUUAUUAAGCAUAUUGUCUAGAGGAUUGUUGGAAAGUUAUGGGUUGAACUCAAACACCUUUGAGUUCUCUUUCAACUGUAUCUUUGAGUUAACAUGUUGUUCCGUCAUUUGUGUCCUACUCUUCAAAACUCCGUUUGGAGUUUUCUGGACAAAGAUAUUGAAGUGGUUUUCCAUUUCCUUUUGAUCUCAUUUGACAGAUGAGGAAACCAAGGCAAAUGGGGUUAAGUGACUUGCGCAGGGAGUGUCUAAGGCCAAAUCUAAACUCCAGAAGUAAGUCUUCCCAAUUUCAGGCCUAGCUCUCUAUCCACUGUACCACUUAGCUGUCCAAGAGUUAACCACAGGGAGCAGCUGGGUGGCUCAGUGGAUUGAGAGUCAGGCCUAGAGACAGGAGGACCUGGGUUCAAAUCUGGCCUCAGACACUUCCCAGCUGUGUGACCCUGGGCAAGUCACUUAACCCCCAUUGCCUAGCCCUUACCACUCUUCUGCCUUGGAGCCAAUACACAGUAUUGACUCCAAGAUGGAAUGUAAAGGUUAAAAAAAAAAAGAGUUAACCACAACAAAAUUGGACAUUAGGACACUGAGGAUAAUAAUGUUAGAAAUAAUUAAUACCUGUAUAGCAUUUUUAAAUUGGCAAAGUGCUUUCCUCCCAGUAAGUUCAUGAAGUACACAGUGCAAAUCAUAGGAUCAUUGAUUUAGAGAUGAAAGGGCUUCAUUUUUACAAAUUAAGAAACUGAGGUUCUGCCGAGGUAUGUCUUGCUCAACGUCUUUAAGGUAGCAAAUGUCUGAGGGGAAAACUCAAAUCUAGGUCUCUAUCAGAAAUGCCAUAGUUUUUAAUGUGAUAAUCAGGUAUAUAGGGUCCAGAGGGUCAGGAACUUUGUACAAAGGGGUUCAUUAGAUGGAAGAAGGGAUAUAUCCAAGAGGAACUGCUUUAAGACAGUCUCCCUUACUGAGGCACCCAGAACCAUAAAAUGAGAUGAGUAAAUGAAGUAAUUAUCAUACACACACCAGCCCACUCUAAGUUUUAAUGACAUACAUUUCUAAAGUGCUUUAAGGUUUACAAAAGCUCCUUCCACACAAUAAUCUUGUAAGGUAGAUAAAACAAAAUCUUACUGCUUUCAUUUUUCCAUAUGGGGAAACUGAGGCUCAGUGAAAUCAAAUGACUUGUAUUCAAAUUCAAGUAUUCAGAAUCCAAAGUUUCCACUAUUCUACUCUCUUCUUUCCACUAUUGUACUGCCUUAGAAACUGUUCCUAGCAGUAUAGCCUCCAUCCAUAAGGUCUCUCCCCCCAAAGGGACACCCAUACCCCCCCUCACCAAUCUCUUAUCUUGACCUUCUGUCCUCCCUGAAGUGAAUCCUUCCUAAAGUCAUUCCUCCCACUGCAGCAUAGGUGCUCCCCCAGUCCCAAAGAAUUUCCCUUUGGUGGGCCAGUGAAUCCCCCCUCAGCCUUCUCUUCUCUGGCCCCAGGGCCCUGCUCUGCUCCCUGCUCCUAGGGUGGAUAGGGAUCUAAAGCCAUCUAAGGAGCAGCCCCUGGCACAUGAAGAUAGAAAGGAUGGGGUUGCCUUGGUAACAGUUGCCUGGCAACCAGCUCCCUGGCUGGUCUCCUACAACACCACCCCCCCAACCCCCACCCCCGCCUCCUGUCAGGGGGAGCUGGGAUGGGUGAGGGAUCAGUAUUGGGAAAAGAAAGGAGGGAAUGGGGGAGGUGUGGGGGCCAGACAGGGAAAUAGAUACCUGAAUAUACCCAUGAAGAAAGGGUUAAAAUGGCUGGUUCCCACCUCCACCCCUUAGAUCUCAAAGUACUUUAUAGAGCCAGCUGUUCUUCGUUCUGAACAAGGGGCAGUCCUCUCUGCUGUCUGACCUCUCUGGCUCUCCUGCUUUCAGGGCCCAUUUCAAACUGGUGCAGAACAAAAUCUGAAGUGCACCCUCCUCCCAGACCUCCCCCUACUCCACCCAGGCCCAGUUUCACGGUUUCCUGCUCUCUUGCUGGGAAGCUCACUCUUCACUCUACUUGUUUCAGGCUCUUCAGUGCCAGUUAGCCACAGAGUCAGGGCAUUCUGUUGAAUGGGGUGGGGAGAGUGCUGAAGAAGGGAUGAGUGGACCCUGAAAAUGGGAGAUAAGAAGGGGCCCAGACAUAGCCCUUUCAAAAGUGAGGCCAGUCCUUCAAAGCCCCCUCCCAUCCAAUUAGAAAGACUUUAAUGAACACCUGUGCUUGCUUAAUUAGCCCUCUGUUUAAUUACCUAAUCAACUGCCAGAAGCCAGAGGCUGAGACAACAUGAGCUCCAGAUGUGAACCACUCUCUCCUCUAGCCUUCCCAUCCUCCUCCUCCAGGAAGCCUUCCCAGACAGAUAACCACCCCCCACUUCCAAUCUCUAGCCCAGGGCUCUGCUCUGACACAAGCUCUUUCUGUGGUGGGAAGGAAGAUCAGUCCCUGCAUGGAGAUGGAGGGUCAGACUGGAGGCCCAUGCCAAGUGUCACCUCCCCCUUCCUGCCAGGAUCUCUUCCUUCCUCUCACCCUUCUCUGUGCUGUGACCCUAGUUCCUCAGCCACAGCUGUGACUCUCGAUGCCACCUAAGAGUCACGCCUCAGAAGCUGCAACUGCUGAUUCAUUCACUCCUGGGGAGGGAGGGCACUGGUGGGGGGAGGCAAGAAAAAGAAGGCUUGGAAGGAAUUUUACAUGGGACUGGUCGAGAGCAUAGGCUAAACCUGCAUACAAGGCAGAAAGGCCAGUGUUCAUGAGCAAAAGGACGUUGGGCUAUCAGAAGACUGCCAGGGGAGACUGGUCAAUAGAGAAGUAGUAAAGAGAGGAGAGGAAGUAAAGAGAGGAGAGGAAGUCAUCCAGAGAUGAUGGUCAGAGGAGGCCCAGAAGGCCACCAGCAGCAAGUUUAUCAUCUAUAACCUGGGGAGGGAGAGACUCAAAACAAUGGAAGUCAUGGAAUGUUAAAGCUGGAAGGACUCUCCAAAUGGGGAUCUGGGACAGGUCUUUAAAAAGAAAAAAGAAAAAGAAAUCAUCUGUUUAGAUAUCUAGAUAGCACAAUGGAUAGAGCUCCAGACCUGGCAAUGGGUGGACCUGGGUUCAAAUGUGACCUCAGACACUUCCUAGCUGUGUGACCCUGAACAAGUCAUUUCAUUUAACCCUGUUCGUCUAGCCCUAGCCUUUUGUCUCUUAGAGUUAUUACUAAGACAGAAAGUAAGGGUUUAAAAAGAAAUCUUGUCAGCCUCACUUCCCUCACACUUUAUACAGAUGGUUAAAGUAAAGGCCAUGGAAGUAUGGUUUACAGUCAGUCAGUGACUGAGCUGAGACUAAAAUCUAGAAGACCUGAAGAAACUCAGGCACAGGUAUGAGGGGCUGAGACAGCAAGGAAAGAGCCUUGGUUCUGCCUCAACUCAAGCAGCACCAACAGGAUUGGCAUCUGGGGUGGUUGGUUUGGGGGGUUUUCUGAGGGAUGGGAAGAAUGCAAAUUAUGUUCAAAUGGACUUGGAGGGAGGGGCUCCAGGCAGAGGGUGAGAUAAAGAGAAACAGGCCUGUAUGUACCCCCCCCCCCCAGCUCAACACCUCCCCUAUCAAAGCAAAGCUCAAACCUCCACUUUCAGAAUGAUCACUGAUGGUAUCUUGGUUCCUGGGGGGGAGGGGAGCACGAGGGAGACACAGCCCUGAGAGCCAAAGUUUCCUCCAUAAUUGGAGGAGCUCUGGGAGGCUGAUGCGGGACAGAGUCAGUCCACCAGCAGGAUUUCCACCCCACCCCACCUAGGGAAACUAGGGAGUUCUUCCUCCUGGCUAACUCCCAUCUCCUCCUGCAACUGCAGAUGGCAAAAAUUAAUUGGCUAUCUCUGCACCCCAGCGUGUAUCCACAUCCCCUGUCUUGUGCAUAGUAGGUGUUAAUGAAUGUUUGCUGAAUUAAGUGAUGAGAUCUCAAAGCACCUCGAUGGUAUAGAGAGGUGGCCCUUCUCCAAGCCUCAGGAGCUCCCAGGGCCAAGUGAGAGCCAUCCAUCCAGGACUCCUGAGGGGAGGAGCAAUGCUCUCCCUCCCAAUUCUAGGGCAGAAGGGAGGAGGAGGAGGAGGAGGAGGAGGAGGAGUGGGACUGAGUCACAGGAUGCCUGAGUGACUCAAAGUCCCCCAGCAAUGGGACUUCAACCCAACCCUCCCAGACAAAGAGAAAGGGUGACUGCUCUCUUCAAACCCCAGUUCCAUCACCAGGGAAGGGAGAGUCUGUUACCCCCUCUCCUGCCUGCCUCUUCCCCUGGGCUGGGCUGCAGGGCAUGGAGAAGAGAAGGCGGGAGGGGAGAGAAUCACAGUCAGAUCCACCUGUCACCCCCACUGCCAGGCUGGGCCUCGUUAGCAGCUCACAAGAAGCAGGGAGGGGUUAUAAGGGAGCCCUCAUUUUUAAAGGAGCUGAGAAAAAGAAGGCGAGAUACCAGCGCAGAGUCAGAGGGAAGGACAAAGAUAGACCCACAUGCCAACAUGCAGCUGGUGUGCCAUCAGAGUGCAGUGGAAAGAGCCCGGAUCUGGAGUGCAAGGUCCUCUGUUCAGAGCCCAAUUCUCCAAUGGUUUGUUGCCUGGGCCACCUUGUGCAAGUCCCUUCACUUUUCAAUGUCCUCCUUUGUAAGAGGACAGGGCUGGACAGUCGGCAGUUCCAAUGUCUGAGCCACCUUCUUCCAGAGACCACAAGCCAUCUGGCCCUAGCCAAGGGCCGCCCUCCCCAGCCUGCUCUUCUUGGGGCCCAAGAAUCCUCCUAGCCUCAUGCCUAGUCCCCGAGUUCAGCAACUAACUGGAGGAUAGAAAACGUAAACGGAUCUGCUGGGUCCAAAGCAAAGGAACAGAUGUUUGUUGACUGACUAAAAGAAGUCUGGCAUUGGGCAAUGCUCAUGUUAAUUAGCACUGGGUCUCCUUUCCGGACCAGAUUCCUUUUCCCUCAGCAUCUCUACACACUCCCAGCACUAAAAUUCUGCCUGAAACUCCAAAGGGGUCUGUCUCUCUCUUCCCACUGAUGGUCCGGAGGGAGGCAGAAGGAAUUCCCACUGCAGGUCGGGCUUGCCACACCUGUCAUUACCCCCCCCCCCAACUACAGGUCCUCCCUCUCUCCUCUCCCCUCCCCUCCCCCCAGGCCUUACCAAGGUAGUGGGGAAGGGCAGAGCCCGGGAGAAGGCUGAGAGAGCCAGGAGAGGAGUGAGAAGGAGCCAUCCCAGGAAAAAGCUGCCAUCUAAUCCCAACCCAUCCCAGCCUCCCAGAAAUCAGGGUUUGUGGCCUUGGGGGGAAAAGAGGGGGAGGGAGGAAUGUCGGACACUUGGGAAGUGCCUCUCGGCGAGGGGAUGAGGGCAGGCGCUGAGUUGGGGCCCCCUGGGACACCUUGACCCUCCUGGCUCCGCCCAAGGACUCUUCUCUUCGGGUUAGUCAGGCCGGAUUUCCCCAGCCCCCACCCCAUCCCACUCUAAAAUCAGGAGCAAGAAGGUACUGACCACUUUCCCACCAACCUCCGAGGGCUCAAAGAGCCGGAGGAUCCCACCCCCACCCCCAAGCAGGGCCCCCAGGCCUUCCUGGCCGCUCUUAGGCAGCCCAGGGCUAUUUUUAUGCCCCAGGCUGGGCUAAUUUUAACUCACCAAGGAGGCCCCAGGAGGGAGGGUAGGGUGAGGAAAGCUAGCUCCAGGGGAGGCCUGGGCUGGAGUCGAGGGUCCCAGGCGUCAGGGGGACAAAGCCAGAGGGAGUACGGGGUUCUGGGGAGUCACCACUACUGUGGCUUAAGGGACAGGAACAGAUGCAAGAAGGAUGGGGCAGGGAGCUGGGGGAGGGGACAAGGGAGUAAGUAGUUGGACUGACAGACACUCAUGGUGGCUUCCCACCCACAUAUCAGCUGGCCCCACCCCCCUCUCCCACUGGGUUUGAAAUUCGAUUCCGAGGGGAAAAAUGGAAGGGUCAUUGCAACCAACCCCCAGACUCUGAGACCAGGGGUUCCGGGGUGAUCUUCCAACUGGGCGUGGAACACCCCCAACACCCAGGAUCGCUUCCCUUCGGGGGCUGGACGGCUUCACCCUUCCUCAUCUCUAACCCUAACCCUGGGUGCCAAAGGGGACAGGUUGUGACGACUUGAGACCCCCAGCACCCGGCGCUGUGGUGCACACGGUGGUGGAGACUCUAAACGCAGCUUUAUAUGGAAAACGAGAGAACUGCACUAGACAAUCUCUACUAUCCUUUCUCGUUCAGACAUUCUAUAGCUUUGACUCUUAUCUUUCUGAGAAGGGGAGGGGAAGGGGGGAAAGAUGAAGGCUUAGAGAAGAGAAAUCUGAUUGGGGAUUUCCAGGCUCUCUAGAGGCUGGGAUAGCUUAAGAAGCUCAGAUGGUUGAGGACAAGGUGGGGCCAACGCUGCCACGGGAAGGAUGGAGAUUAGAUUCCAGAAGGAACUUCCGAAGGGGCGCUUAACAAUAGAAAGAUAAAGAGAUGCAGGCCUCUCCUUACCCGGAGACCCGAAAGGGAAGACAUGUUAACUGUUGUGGAGCUGGGAAGUGGGAAGGUGGGCAUGGGAAAUGACCAAUAAAAAGAAGAGCCAGAGGUGCCAUGGGAAUCUGACCAGGCCUAGGUUACCGACCAAAAGCAAAAGGGCAUAAUAUCCUUCUGGUGAACAAGGUCCUCUGAGGAGGGCCAAAGGCUGGGAGCAGAAUGUAGAUCAGAGGAUUAUAGGAUCAGAGAUUUAGAGCUAGAAGGGACCUUGGAGGUCAAAUAGUCCAAUCCCAUCCUUCACAAAUAAGGGAACUGAGGCCCAGAGGUAAAGAGGAAUUUGCCAAGGUCUCAGAGGUACAAAGUGGCAAAAGCUGGGAUCCCUCUGAACCAAGGGUUGCCAAGCCUGCCCUACUGUCCUUAACUCAUAGCUUAACUGGAUGGGAUCUUAGACAUCCCCUAAUUCAAAUCCCUCAUUUUUCCCAGGAGAAAACUCUGUCCUUGGAUGAUUCAAUGGCUUCCCUAAGUUCAAAUAGCAAGUAACUGGCAGCAGGAUCCAAAUCUAUGAACCUUUGACCCCCUGUUCCAUUUGGCUUAAAGGAAGCCCUGCUGAUGAUUAAAAGCUACUUAUCUGCAUGGUAAUUUACACAGUCUUACUGGAUCCUGCCACAGUGGCCUCUGGUCUCUAGGGUCUCCCUGAGAAAUUAAUUUAAGCCCCCCCCCCAUUUGAAUUUCAUUUCAUUUCUAGUAUUAGAAGCAAUUCUAUUGUAUGAUCUUGGGAAAAUCACUUGCUCUCUCUUUGCCUCAGUUUGUUCAAAUUUAAAAUGAGAGCGCUGGAUUGGGUAAAAUGGUCCCUGUCACCUCUACUCAGACGCCAUAGGAUUUAAGACUAGAAAAACAGACUUGUCCUCAAACUUUUUGGUCUCAGAAUACCAUUAUGAUCUCAAAAAUUAUUGAGGAACUCCAAAGAGCUUCUGUUUUUACUGGUUCUAACUACUGAUAUUCACUAUAUUUGAAAUUAAAACAUAUUAGUACUAGAAUGAAAGCAGUUUGGACCCUCUGACUCAGGCACCCAGACUACACUCUGAGUAGUCCAGACCUAGGCUAACCACCUCAUUUUACCAGUGUGGAAAAUGAUACCCAGAGUAUGAUUUGUCCCAGGUCAUAGAGGCAGCAAGAAACAGAGUAAAGAUUCAAACUCAGAGCCUCUGACCUCAAAUCCAUUCUCAUGUAUCUUUUCCUGGAUUUUACAAAUGGGGUUCAAACCCUACCUCCACUGCCAAUCCUGAAGACAAAUCACUGUCUCCUCUGAGAAUUCCCUCUUUCCCACUGGUGUUGGCCAGCCCUUGAGAAACAAAGCUGGACCACCCUCCUCUCCUUCAUUCUCAGUUUUAGGAUUUGGUCAGUCCUGUCUUCUGUCUAACUUCCAUCCCUCCAACUGUAAAGCUAGCCUAUUUCCUCCCCUUCUGAGAAAAAAGGUGGGGGCCGUUGGGACAGUUAGCCCCAUCACCCUGCUGCUCUCCCUCCUUGACUUCCCUCUAGGGUCCCAAGGCAGAAGUGAAAGUCCCAGCUGGGCCUGGAGGAGCCCAAGAGCCGUUGGUGUGGGAAGGGGUCAGGGUUUGGUUCAGCCCAGCCCUGGAAUAAAGGAAGGGGAAGGUAGAAGACUCCCUUUCUGCUCACAUCUAAUCAGUUUCCAAGUCCUGUCAACUCUUCCUCCACAGGUUUUCAAAUCCAUUCCCUCCAUUCCACUGUUACCAUCUCCAGAAUGGUAGUAUCCUUCAUUCAGAGCCAAAGUAACCCCCGGCAUAUGCCUGACCUUGUCACUCCCCUGCUCAAAAAUAUCCUGUAGCUCCCUAUUGCAUCCUCAAUAAACUGCUUGGCUUGACAAGGUCAAAGGAUUCCCAUUUGUUGUUGUUGUUCAAUUGCAUCUGGGUCUUCAUGACCCCAUUUGAGAUUUUCUUGGCAAAGAUACUGGAGUGGUUUGCCUUCUACUUCUCCCCCAUUUUAUAGAUGAAGAAACAGAGGCAAACUGGAAUAAGUGACUUGUCCAGGGUCACACAGCUAGUUAAUGUUUGAGGCCAGAUUUUAAUUUGGGAAGAUAAGUUGACUCUAGGCCUAGCACUCUAUCCAUUGCACCACCUAGUUCCCCUACCUUAUCUCAUACUACUUUUUAGUUAUGUUACAUCCCAGCCAAACUUGACUAUUCCAAGUAUCCCCUAAUCAUUCUGGCUUCUUCCACACUGCCCUACCAACUAGAAAUGGACCCUCAACAAACCUGCCUCUUGUCUUUUGCUUGAAGUCCAUCCUCCCCUGCCUUCAGGGACCACUUCCAUCAGGAAACUUCAGAGGAACAGCAGGGGUCCCAACAUUCCAUCCCUCCCCCCACUAAAGUGAUUUUUCUCUCCAAAUUCUUCAUAGCAUUUUGCCUGAUCCUCACCCUUGCCUUUAGCUCAUUCUCCCUUGUCUUACUCAUUAUUUAUGAAUGUCUUCCCUCCAUAAUCCUACUCCCAACUCCAAAAAAGCCACAACAUGUCUCUCUUCCUUGCAUCCUAAGCAACUUAACACAAUGCCUUCAUGGCACAUAGUAGGUGUUUAAUAACUGUUCACUGAACUGAGGAGGGCACUAGCCCAGCAGUUGAAGCCAUGGGAGGCCAAGGGGGAGGGAAGAGGGGAGGACAGGCACAGGGUGAGAACCACUAGCAGGGUCAGGCCAAGGCAGGGAGUGAUGACGGGGAACUACAAGGCAAUAACAGAAGGGACUAAGCAAUGGCUGAGAACCUUCUCUGCUUUAAAACAAGUCUGAGACCCCAGCCUGGCUGGGAGCGAGGUGGCCUGGAAGGAGAAAGUUGGCCCCAAUGAUUCUGAACCAUCAGAACAAGGAAACAGCUUCAAAGGCAGUAAAUACACUUUGUCUUUUAUAAAACAUAAACUCCUUGAGGGCAGACUUAUUUUUUGUUGUUUUGAUUUUAAUCCCCAGCACCAAGUCCAAUGCCCAUCACAUAAUAAACAACUAAUACAUGAUUGUUGGUUGAGAGACUGAAUACUAUCUUUUGUUUGGCUGGGGAGCAGUGAGGGUUGGGAAGACUAUGGAUUAAAUGAAGCAGGCUAUAUACAUGAAAUUAUGGUAAGGAUUCAAAGGAGGCCAAUCCAAUCAGGAAGAAGCAAAUCCUCCCAGAGAAACAGGGUGACCUGAUGGGGAGUCAAGGAGGAUUUAAAGGGCCAGUUCACUGGUCAUACCCAGUUCCUAUGCACACAGCUCUCUGGGUCCAAUUCCACAUGCUAAGGAUAAGGCUCCUGCAAUUACUGGCAGGGAUCAGAGAUGGACAGAGGAGGACCCUGCCAGGGUCAACUGUGAGGGCAGUUUGUAUAAGAUUAACAUAAUACUUUUGGGGAAGAGGGUGCCAUGAAUGGAAAGGAGGAGGGAGGAUGGGGAAGGGGAAGGAUAGGAUGGUAUAGCAGACAUAAAUGUAGUCCUCAUUAACCCCAUCUAUUUUCAUCAUACUCCUUUUCUUGGGGACACAGCUCUGAGAUAAGGUCAGACCCCUGUGAUUCCUCCACUACUCUCUGGCCCCACCUCCAGCCACCUCACUGGGCCUUCUCUAGUUCAUUCUGUCUGCCACAGUUUCCCUUCUUCCCCAUGAAGUUGCAACUAGUACAAAGUAUAAACCUCUUGCCUCCACACUUUUGCACAGAGCUGGUCCCUAAUAUCUGCAAUGGAGUCCUUUGUUCCAGAUCUAUUCUUACUCUUUCUGUGGUUAGUGUUAUCUCUUCUUUGAAGCUAUUUUUUAGUACUUUGCAUUUUCUAAUCUGCAUCCAUGUUGCAUUCCCCCCAGUAAGCUUCUUGAGGACAGGGACUAUCUCCUUUUUGUCUUUGUAUCCUCAGCAUCUAGUAUUGUGUCUGCACAGAGUUGGCACUCAUCAAAUGCCUGAAUUGAAAUAAAUAUAGCCAAAGAGCUAUCCAAAGGAGAUGGGGCAGAGGGUAGCUAGUAAUCUUUCUUCUCCUUCCUCUUCUCCACACUCUGAAGCUGACAGGUGGAGAAGACAAAAGUAACCAGCUGGGAAAGAGACACCUGUCCUUUACUGGUCAGCCCCACCCCCUCCUUCAUCAUAAAGGCAGCUGUAAGUCAUAUCAUCUCUUUAUGGGCCUCCACUGUCCCUCACAGCAUAAAGAGCCUGGGGACCAAAAAAGGGGGGGAGGGAGUUAGAGCUCCUUGAAAAGAGGUGCCUAGAAUCUAUCCAAUAACAUCUUUUGGGAUGAAGUGGAAAGAGCCCUGAACUAUCUGUCUGUCAAACUUGGGAUCUGAUUCCAGCUAUGCCACUAAUCAUAUGCCUUAGGCAAGUCAUUUGGUUUCUGUGGGUCUUAGUUCUCUCAUCUAUAAAAUGAGGGGGCUAGACUCAAUUAUUUCUAUGGUUUCUUUCAACUCUGACAUUCUAUAAAUCUAUGAUUUGAUUCUGUGCCCCUUGUUCUCCCUACAUACCAUAGUUCAAGAGGGUUAGAGAGACUAACCCUGGAGUGGUUCUCAAAGCUUUCUGGCCUCAAAAAAAAAGUAUCCUUUUGUCCUCUUAAAAAUUAUUGAGGGCCAGCUGGAUAGCUCAGUAGAUUGACAGCCAGGCCUACAGAUGGGAGAUCCUAGGUUCAAAUCUGGCCUCAGACACUUCCCAGCUGUGUGACCCUGGGCAAGUCACUUAACACCCAUUGCCUAGCCCUUACCUCUUUUCUGCCUUGGAGCCAAUACACAGUAUUGACUCCAAGAUGGAAGGUAACGGUUUAAAAAAAAUUAUUGAGACCCCCCCAAAGAACUGUUGUUUAUAUGGAUCAAAUCUAUUGAUAUUUAUCAUAUUGGAAAAUAAAAUGCUUUAGUAUUAUUAUGAAAGGGUCUCAAAAUACCCCUAGGGGUCUCCAAAGAAGGUGUCAGGAACAGAUGAGUGAGAUUAUUACAUCCGUUCCCAGGUUUUCACAUUAUUCUUUCCAAUCCAAGAGGUAAUCAAGGGAGGGGGUAGAUUUAUCUUCUGGGAAGACUAUCCCAGAAGAUAAAUCCACUCUAGCUUGUCUCCUGACAACUUUCCACAUGGAAAUUAACCUAAAUAUCCCUCCUGUUGGAGCUAUAUUUUGUCUUGAUGCAGACUCUUCUGUCCCUGGAGGACCAGCACAGGUCCCACUGCCUCCUCUAUAAUGUUGGGAGCAGGGCUCCCUAGUCUCUCUUCCCUCUCUUGUUUGACCUCUCCCACGUAUUCCUCUCAUUUUCCAUUGAAUCUUUGUUACUGUAUUUGUGUUUAAGUCUUAAUCUCUUGUUCUAGUGUAAGGUCACUGAAGGAAGGUAUUGUGUUUUAUUCAUCUGUAUCCCAAGUACUUCACACAAUGCCUACAUAACGAAUAAUAGAUGUUUAAUAAAUUGAACUGGAUUGGGUUCUUUGUCCUUCAUAUCAGUGAUGAAAUCUAGGUCUUUCCAAAAACUACAGAUUAUAGAGCUGGAAGGGGUCCUGGGACAUAGAAUAUGUUGGAGUUGGAAGGGAUCUUGGAAAUCAUCUUGUUCAACCCUUUCACUCAUUGAUGAGGACAAUUAAAGCAGCAAACAGAAGAGUAGGAAUCUGGAAAGGAGGCUCAAUGGGGAACUCUGGGGUCUGAAGGAGCCAUGGUUAGAUAGAGAUACCCAAAGGGGAUGUCCCAUCUUUCUUAUCAUCUCAAGUGUCUGGCCUGGGGUCUGGCCUCAAUAUGACCUCAGCAGUGUCUCAGCUGAAGCCCCCUCCCUAGGCCCCAGAUGCUUUCACUCUCCCUCAGCCCAGACUCAGUCCUUCUAGAGACUAGAGAAAUAGAGAUGUCUGGUAGUGACCAACCCAAGCAUCUUAGGUGAUUUUUUGUUUUUACCUUCUGGGCCUCGGUUUCCUCAGCUGUAAAGUGAAGUUGAACAUUAGGAUCACUAAGUUUUUUUCCAGUUCCCAAUGCUCUUGAAACUUGUCCCUUUCCAUCCCCAGCUCAAGGGUGUCUGAAAAGAAGUCAGCUUUCCAUAAGACUUGUUCUAGCCAGCUUAUAAUUCCUUGGAUUCUCAGUUCAGGAAAGCCCAAAUAAUGCCCCCAGAAACUAAGAAGGUCUACACUUCAGCUUUCUAAAUGAAAAGAGGCCAUUGGCUCCAAUCUCAAAACCCUUUGGGGAAGUCCUUCCUUUAGUCUAGCUUCAGCUCUUCCCACUCCUAGCCUGUUCUUCUCUCAUUCAAUUUAGAGUCCUAUACCUGACCCUAAAAAGAACUCCACAGCAGAAUGACCAAUAGUCCAGGAGAGGUCUGUCGUGUCUGUGUGUCCUUUCCCUACCAGAAGACCCCAUUCCUGGCCUGAACAACUAGGUUGGCUAUUUUUCCUAUUCCCUGGGAUUCAGAGGCAGCUUCUUCUGGCCUCCAUAAAAAAAAAAAACACCUCCCUUCUGCUGGCUAAUCCCCCCACUACAACCAAUCUAUAACCAUUCAUUAAGGGUCUCCAAUGUGCCAGGCACCAUGCAAGGUGCUAGGGCUACAAAAAUGAGCCAGUCCUUGCCUGACCUCCUUCCCAGAAGGGGCAGCACAAAGACUGGCACAUGCACAUGUAAGAAUAUAGCCCAAAUACAGCCCAAACUAGAAACUGGGCCUGUGACCUCAAUGGGAUAGAGAGCCCCCAGGAAAUAAAACACUUUCUUGGUAAUGUGCUAUCUUACAGGGUGACUUGAAGCAGCAGUUCUCAAACUUUUGGCCUCAGGGCCUCUUACAGUCUUAAAAAUGAUUGAAGACCCCAAAGAGCUUUUGUUUAUGUGAAUUACAUCUAUUGAUAUUUACUAUAUUAGAAAUCAAAGCUGGUAAAGUUUUAAAAUAUUAAUUUAUUUAAAAUAACAACCCCAUUACAUGUUCAUAAAAUAACAUUUUAGUGAAAAUUAAGAGUGGUACUGUUUUACAUAUUUUUGCUAAUGUCUUUAAUGUAUAACUUAAUAGAAGACAGCUGGAUUCUCCUA
Long non-coding RNA from Monodelphis domestica (gray short-tailed opossum), 20072 nucleotides. RefSeq lists it as uncharacterized. The record is from RefSeq and is a predicted model, not a curated record. Lineage: Eukaryota; Metazoa; Chordata; Mammalia; Didelphimorphia; Didelphidae.